GACGUAGGGGGCCAGCGUUGUCCGGAUUUAUUGGGUUUAAAGGGCGCGUAGGCGUCGAUCACGUCCGGGGUGAAAGCUUUCGGCUCAACCGGAAAAGUGCCUUGGAUACGGAUCGACUUGAGGGAGGUAGAGGCAGGUGGAACUUCCAGUGGAGCGGUGAAAUGCGUUGAUAUUGGAAGGAACGCCGGUGGCGAAAGCGACCUGCUGGAUCUCUUCUGACGCUGAGGCGCGAAAGCUAGGGGAGC
RNAcentral lists this ribosomal RNA (245 nucleotides) under uncultured Gemmata sp. RNAcentral describes it as "partial 16S ribosomal RNA". It matches the Rfam family "Bacterial small subunit ribosomal RNA", at positions 524 to 769 of the family's 1533-position model. Lineage: Bacteria; Pseudomonadati; Planctomycetota; Planctomycetia; Gemmatales; Gemmataceae. The record is from RNAcentral.